RNAcentral lists this ribosomal RNA (105 nucleotides) under Danio rerio (zebrafish). The record is from RNAcentral. Lineage: Eukaryota; Metazoa; Chordata; Actinopteri; Cypriniformes; Danionidae.
GCUGGCAGCUAGCUUUCUGCAAGUCGCUCACUGAAGCUAAGCAGGGCUGAGCCUGGUCAGUACCUGGAUGGGAGACCACAUGGGAAAGUUAGGUUGCUGCCGGAA